This 403-nucleotide ribosomal RNA is filed under the name uncultured bacterium. RNAcentral's name for it is "partial 16S ribosomal RNA". It matches the Rfam family "Bacterial small subunit ribosomal RNA", at positions 30 to 526 of the family's 1533-position model. The record is from RNAcentral.
AUUGAACGCUGGCGGCAGGCCUAACACAUGCAAGUCGAGCGAGCGGCGGACGGGUGAGUAAUGUAUGGGGACUUCCCGAUAGAGGGGGAUAACUACUGGAAACGGUAGCUAAUCCCGCAUACUAUCGCAUAACCCAUAUGGGCUUAGCUAGUAGGUGAGGUAAUGGCUCACCUAGGCGACGAUCCCUAGCUGGUCUGAGAGGAUGAUCAGCAACACGGGGACGGAGACACGGCCCAGACUCCUACGGAGGCAGCAGUGGGGAAGUUUGGACAAGGGGGGAAACCCUGAGCCAGCCAGCCCGCGUGUAGGAUGAAGGCCUUCGGUUUGUAAAGUACUUUUGGCAGAGAAGCGGUAUCUGAAGAAUAAGCACCGGCUAACUACGUGCCAGCAGCCGCGGUAAUUC